GAUGAACGCUAGCGGCAGGCUUAACACAUGCAAGUCGAGGGGUAUAGGUUUUCGGACCUAGAGACCGGCGCACGGGUGCGUAACGCGUAUGCAAUCUACCUUUCACAGAGGGAUAGCCCAGAGAAAUUUGGAUUAAUACCUCAUAGUAUUAUAGAAUGGCAUCAUUUUAUAAUUAAAGUCACAACGGUGAAAGAUGAGCAUGCGUCCCAUUAGCUAGUUGGUAUGGUAACGGCAUACCAAGGCAACGAUGGGUAGGGGUCCUGAGAGGGAGAUCCCCCACACUGGUACUGAGACACGGACCAGACUCCUACGGGAGGCAGCAGUGAGGAAUAUUGGUCAAUGGGCGCAAGCCUGAACCAGCCAUGCCGCGUGCAGGAUGACGGUCCUAUGGAUUGUAAACUGCUUUUGCACAGGAAGAACAACGCUACGUGUAGCGUCUUGACGGUACUGUGAGAAUAAGGAUCGGCUAACUCCGUGCC
Molecule: ribosomal RNA, 479 nt
Filed under: uncultured bacterium
Lineage: Bacteria
Description: bacterial SSU rRNA
Rfam family: Bacterial small subunit ribosomal RNA
Source: RNAcentral